GUGAGGAAUAUUGGUCAAUGGGCGAGAGCCUGAACCAGCCAAGUCGCGUGAGGGAAGACGGUCCUACGGAUUGUAAACCUCUUUUGUCGGGGAGCAAUAAGGCGUACGUGUACGCAGAUGCGAGUACCCGAAGAAAAAGCAUCGGCUAACUCCGUGCCAGCAGCCGCGGUAAUACGGAGGAUGCGAGCGUUAUCCGGAUUUAUUGGGUUUAAAGGGUGCGCAGGCGGAAAGUGCAAGUCAGCGGUCAAACGACGGGGCUCAACCCCGUCUCGCCGUUGAAACUGUCUUUCUAGAGUGAGCGAGAAGUAUGCGGAAUGCGUGGUGUAGCGGUGAAAUGCAUAGAUAUCACGCAGAACUCCGAUUGCGAAGGCAGCAUACCGGCGCUCAACUGACGCUCAUGCACGAAAGCGUGGGUAUCGAACAGG
Molecule: ribosomal RNA, 425 nt
Filed under: uncultured bacterium
Lineage: Bacteria
Description: bacterial SSU rRNA
Rfam family: Bacterial small subunit ribosomal RNA
Source: RNAcentral